Molecule: microRNA precursor, 93 nt
Filed under: Ictidomys tridecemlineatus (thirteen-lined ground squirrel)
Lineage: Eukaryota; Metazoa; Chordata; Mammalia; Rodentia; Sciuridae
Description: miRNA (ENSSTOG00000030148.1)
Source: RNAcentral
UUUGUGCAUAUAUGUGUGCAUAUGCAUGUAUGUAUAUGGAAAUAUAUAUAAAAUCUAUUUAUGUAUCCAUCUUUUUAUAUAGAAUAACAGAAA